GGAUGGAGUCGAAGGGGUCCAAAUGUCAUACAAGAAGGCUAUGGGUCUGCUGCUGUCUUGCCUGAGCAAGGCAUAUAUCUCGCAGCAUCUGCAUACCGGCCUGUCCUUCAGUUCACUGAUAAGAUCGCUUCAAUGCUGCCAAAAAAAUAUUCGCAACUUGGGAAUGAUGGAUUGCUAGCAUUUAUAGAGAACUUUGUUAAGGACCACUUUUUACCAACUAUGUUUGUGGACUACCGGAAGGGUGUUCAGCAAGCUAUAUCAAGUCCAGCUGCAUUUCGCCCUAGGGCACACACUACUGCUGCUUAUACCUCGUCAAUUGAGAAAGGUCGACCUGUCUUGCAGGGACUUUUGGCAAUAGAUUUCUUAGCAAAAGAGGUGUUUGGUUGGGCUCAAGCAAUGCCAAAAUUUUCUAGUGAUCUGGUGAAGUUUGUGCAAACUUUUCUUGAACGAACAUAUGAAAGAUGUCGAACAUCAUACAUGGAGGCAGUUCUGGAGAAGCAGAGUUACAUGCUGAUAGGGAGGCAUGAUAUUGAGAAAUUGAUGCGUCUUGAUCCCGCAAGCUCAUGUUUGCCAAAUCCACUUGGUAAAGCAAAUAUGAACAAUGCCUCAGAUUCUGAAUCUGCCAGUAUCGAAUCUGAACUGAUUGAAUUAUUUUUGAAUUUGCGCCCUAUCAAGCAGGAAAAUCUAAUUCGUGAUGAUAACAAACUAAUUUUGCUAGCAUCCCUUAGUGAUUCAUUGGAGUAUGUAGCAGACUCAAUUGAAAGGCUGACUUUAAGAACGUCAAAUCAAGUGGAAGUGAAUGGCAAGAAUCUGGCAUCAUUUGCAGAUGAUUAUAGAAAACUGGCAAUUGACUGCCUGAAGGUUUUGCGUGUAGAGAUGCAAUUGGAGACUAUUUUCCAUAUGCAGGAAAUGACAAACAGAGAGUACUUGGAGGACCAAGAUGCAGAAGAGCCUGAUGACUUCAUAAUUUCACUCACAGCCCAGAUAACACGUAGGGAUGAGGAAAUGGCACCUUUUGUGGCAGGAGUAAAGCGGAAUUACAUAUUUGGUGGAAUUUGUAGCGUUGCUGCAAAUGCAUCAAUCAAGGCUUUGGCUGACAUGAAAGCCAUUAACCUUUUCGGGGUUCAACAGAUAUGUCGAAAUUCAAUUGCACUGGAACAGGCCCUGGCAGCUAUUCCAUCAAUUGAUAGUGGAGCUGUACAGCAGAAAUUAGAUCAUGUCCGCUCCUAUUAUGAAUUAUUAAAUAUGCCAUUUGAGGCCUUGCUUGCUUUCAUCACAGAGCACGAGCACUUGUUUACAGCCACAGAGUAUGCUAGUCUUCUAAAGGUCCAAGUCCCAGGAAGGGAGAUUCCCCCUGAUGCGCAAGAUCGAGUGGCAGAUAUAUUAUCCCGUUAGCUUUUCUAUUGGUGGAUGAGGAUUGAUUUAUCAUGUAAAGAAUAUAACUUCAUCCAGAAUGUGGUGCCGGCAGAAUUGAUCGAUAAUUAGAUGCAAAAGCCAGCUUAGCUUGUGCCACGUGAAUUUUUGCCGUAUAUAGUAGACGCAAGUAUCUUGCAAUUUCUUCUGUUGUCAUUUGUUGUUAGUAUGCUCGUGUUUCUUUUGGUUUCCGGUGGGGCUUGUCAAUGUUGAUGAGAGAAUGUUAAUGCGAUGUAAGCUUCUUGCUACUCCUUUUAAAUUGUUCAUGACUGGUCUUGCUCUUGACUAUUAAUUUUAAAUUACUCCAGGC
RNAcentral lists this unclassified non-coding RNA (1723 nucleotides) under Hevea brasiliensis (rubber tree). The record is from RNAcentral. Lineage: Eukaryota; Viridiplantae; Streptophyta; Magnoliopsida; Malpighiales; Euphorbiaceae.